UGGAAUGAUGGAUAUCCAAGAAUAGAGCCAUAAUAAUUGCAUGUUUAUGAGAUUAAAUAGCAUUAUACGUAUAUAUUUUCUAUUACGUAAAUGUAAAAUAAGUAGGAAUUGUAUUUCAUUUAUGGGAUUAUUUUUGUGUUGAAGCAAGCCUCAAGUUAAGUCUAGUCUGGACAUGUAUUAAAAGCCAAAGUUUGUAAGUGAGAUAUGAUUCCCAUGAUAAUGUCUCUUGUUUACUUAAACAUUCUAAAUAAUAUUAGACUUAUUUCAGAUGCAGCAGGAGUUAGAAGAAAAUAUAACUCUAUAUAGCAAAUGAUAUCCCUUUCCAUUGUUUGAUUAAUAGAUACUACAUUUAGUAUUUUUUCUUAGACACAUCUAGUAAAAGAUGUGAAAACAUAAACAUUUGUACUGAAGAGCAUACUUAUGCCUCAUGAAUUCGUCAUGUUCCAUAGCCUUAAGAACAUCUCAUGACAUCUCUGUAUGGCUUUUUUUCAGACUCCACACUUCAUUCCUGCAUCCCUGUGGAAGUGUCCAGAGGCAGGCUGAAACUGUUCACAGAAUAACCAAACCCUCCUCAACUUCUCAGGUUUAUGGCCAAAAUGGGACAGCCGUUUCAGUUCAUAAGCAAUCACUUGACAGAUAACUUUGGACAUACCUACUGCCCAAGGACCCCUGGGACUCCUACGAAGGAUGCCACUAUGGUGAGGAGAGAGGAGACCACUCAUCGGUACUACAUGGCAGCGUAGCCUGGCAUCAGGAGGCCUGAGGAUCUGCAGGAUCUUGGGGUUUCACUUUCCACAUCGGUACAAUGAGGAUAAAAUGGCACCUGACUGCAUACCUGGAGAGCGUUUACAGAAAGCAUACUCUAUACAGGAUGCCUGUGGAGGGGACACCAAGGGCCCGUGUGGGAAAGGACUUGACCGAGGCCUGCUGCCAGCUCUAGGUGCCUUUCACCGUCCCUCCAGCGACUGCAUCCUGGGAAUCCCAAAGCAGGAAUCAACAUCUCUCAAAGGGCUUCUUUAACAAACCAGUUUGUGAAAUGUUUAACUACGGAAAGCCUUACACAGCAUUUGCAGUCUUCAUCUGGUUGUAUUUACAUUAAAUCACCUUUGUUGCAAAGAAUAAAAUAAAAUGAAAUUUAAAGUGUUCUGGAAAA
Molecule: long non-coding RNA, 1153 nt
Organism: Lemur catta (Ring-tailed lemur)
Lineage: Eukaryota; Metazoa; Chordata; Mammalia; Primates; Lemuridae
Exons: 4
Source: RefSeq, a predicted model, not a curated record